Molecule: RNA transcript, 10118 nt
Organism: Bactrocera dorsalis (oriental fruit fly)
Lineage: Eukaryota; Metazoa; Arthropoda; Insecta; Diptera; Tephritidae
Gene: sima
Gene name: protein similar
Exons: 12
Source: RefSeq, a predicted model, not a curated record
GCUGCUCUACUGAGCGUUAUUGGACUGUUAUUAAUUUUGAAAUACCCGAGGAUUUUCGCUCAUUUUGAAUAGUCUUUGUCGUGGGUACUGAUCGGUCGUUUGGCGCUAUCAACGCUCGCUCAACUAUUGACCUGUUCGAAAUUUGUUCUUUUUUUUUUUGCUUCCCGAAUAUUCAAUUCUAUAAAUUGUGAAAUUCAAAAUAAAUUCGUAUAAGAGAAAACGCUGCUAGAAAGGUGUAGUGAAAGACGGGGCCUAUUGGGCUGAUUAAAGUGUGGUGAUUUUAGUGUUGACAGAGACAACAAAUACCAAAAAAAAAAAUACAAAAAAAAAGCAAAACAAGUGAAAAAAGCAAUAUAAUAACAACAAGUUAGUGAUUUAAAUCAAAAGUGUCUGGAAAUUUUUUUCAAAAACAUUGCAACAACAACAUGUACCCUAAUCAGAAUUCGUGGCUAGCCUUCGUCGAAGAAGCGUACUCCCUCUUCGAUGAUAAUUCGGAUAAACUGUUGAAUAACCUAUGUACCGAGUGUCUGGAGUAUGAGUGUGAACAUCGAAACAACAACAACAACAAUGCGCAAGCAUCAAAUCAAGCAAAUUUACAUGAACAACAAUUGGAAUUCGCCGCUGAAAAUUCGACGCAAUUACAUGAUAAAUCAUUGUAUACCAAUAUGGAUCCUAAUCAGUACUAUGCACGAGUGCCGUCGGAACUACAACAACAAGAGCAAAAUGUAACUUUUGCUGAUUACGGAUUUCGCAGCUCUUGCCAUGGCACUGACGGCGGCAGCGGUGGCGGGUGCCACAAAGGCGAUUGCGCUCUAGAGCAAAAUCAGCCGCAGCAAGCGCAAGCGAUGACGCAGCAUAACAUUCAGCAACAACAGCCAGCGCAUAUUACGAUGCCGCCACAGAUGCAACAUACAACGCAGCCACGCAGUUAUGGCUACCAACGUGAGAACCCAACGUACGGUGUAACUGUACAUCCACCACGUAAUUAUCCAGCACUAGAGGUAGUACCGGGCAUAACGUAUCCAAUCAGUCAAACUAUGCCUCCAAAUGCAUACAACAACAAUAUUCAACAGCAACAACAACAACAGUUAACAAUGCAACAACAGCAACCACCAAUGCAACAACAGCAGCUACCAAUGCAACAACAGCAACUUCCAAUGCAACAACAGGAGCUACCAAUGCAACAACAACAACAACAUACCAUGCCGCUAUUCCAGCAACAACCAUACCCGUUGCCACAGCAACAACUGCGGCCGCCACAGUUCAUACAGACUCCAUAUCAACCCAGUCAACAAUUGCAAAGGCCUGUAGGCUAUCAGCCCCAACAAUAUCCACAACCGCUUUAUCAACAACAAAAUACGAGCACACAUGUCAAUUACGCCAAUCAAAUGCCACCGGUGCAGCAGCCCGCCUAUCCCAUGCAAAACUACAGAAAUGGCGGUUAUACGACGCCAAUGCCGGAGCGUUCUGGAGCUUGCUGCCGUCAGCAGGCACCGAUCGGUGCACCCGGUGUGAAUGUGCAGCGCCAGUUGGGGCAUGCACCUUGCCGCGGCAAUGCUCCGUGGUCAUAUUCAUAUUGCUACGGCGAUGUCCAGAACAAUUAUGAACCCUGUCACUUCAUCAACUGCGUGGACAUUGAGGACUUUCUAAAUAAUGAAAAGCGUAAGGAAAAAUCUCGCGAUGCGGCCAGAUGCCGGCGUUCACGCGAAACGGAGAUCUUCAGCGAGUUGGCACAGAUUUUACCAUUGCGCAAAGAGGACGUUAACCAAUUGGACAAAGCAUCUAUAAUGCGCAUCGCCAUAGCUUUCCUGAAAGUACGCGAAAUGCUGCAGUUGUUCCCGAAAAUUCGAGACCUACUUGAAGAUAUAAAACUAGACAAUGAUAUUGAAGAUAACUCCAAUAGUUCAACACAAAUGUCCGUUUCAACAACGGAAAACACCGAUGGAAAAUUUGAUUUGCUCAAGUGUGCCGAGGCAACACAAUUUAUCAAACAGACCUUGGACGGUUUUCUGAUGAUCCUCUCCAAUGAUGGCGACAUUACUUAUGUUUCAGACAACAUAACUGAUUAUUUAGGCUUAGCAAAGAUUGACAUACUCGGCCAACAAAUUUGGGAGUACAGCCACCAAUGUGAUCAUGCCGAACUCAAAGAGGCGCUAAACAUCAAACGCAACCGUCUGCCCGAUAAGAUUAAAGAUGAGAAUAUGAUCGAAGAGGGCAUUACGACCGAGCAUCGUGAUCUUUUCGUGCGUCUCAAAUGCACAUUGACCAGCCGUGGACGUAGUAUCAAUAUCAAAAGCGCUUCCUACAAGGUUAUACACAUAACUGGUCACUUGGUGGUUAACAUGAAAGAUGAUCGUGUACUGGUCGCCAUCGGUCGCCCAAUACCGCAUCCCUCCAAUAUAGAAAUUCCAUUGGGCACUACAACAUUCUUGACAAAACACUCUUUGGAUAUGAAAUUUACAUAUGUGGAUGAGAAAAUGCAAAAUCUCUUCGGUUACAAGGCCGAAGAUCUACUUGAGCAAUCACUGUUUGCCUGCCAUCAUGGCGGUGAUUCGAACAGGCUAAUGGCAACAUUCAAAACCGUGUUGAGCAAGGGCCAAGGUGAGACUUGUCGCUACAGAUUCCUGGGUAAAUACGGCGGUUACUGUUGGAUCGUGACACAAGCCACAAUUGUUUAUGAUAAAUUGAAACCACAAAGUGUUGUUUGCGUUAAUUAUGUCAUAAGCAAUCUUGAGAACAACAAUGAGAUUUAUUCACUUGCACAAUACGAGGCAAGCAAGCUUAAAGUUGAGGCAAGCGACAGCGAAAGCGAUCAAAGCAACAUUGGCGAUAGCUGUGGCAACAACAAUCUCACAGAGAAUAUCAACGAUAACAGCAACAACUCCAACAACAACAACAACGACAAUUCAACUGACGACUAUAAACAGAAAUUAUUAGAGUGCAGUAAAGAAGCAAAACUGAAACAAGAACAAGAAAAUCCAGAAAUCCUUAAUAAAUCUUGCAAAAUCGAAUUGCAUUCGAUCAAAGCAGCCAACUCACCACCGUCAACGCUAACCAACCCAACCACCGACAACAACGAUCUCAACGAGGAUCGUAAUAUAAACAUAACCAACAACAGCAACAACAACAACAGUAACAAUACAAAUAAUUUAUGUUCCUCCAUUAAACGCGAAAAAACGUGUGCAACAAUUAACGCAAAUCCCUCUAAUACCAUAACCACUACCUCAGGCAACAACAAUUGCGCCGCCACACCCCCAUUAGAUAAUAACACCACCAAAUUGAUCGACGCUAAUAAAACGAUCGUACGUGAAAAUUCACUUUCUCCAUUGCGUCAGAAUUUACAAUCGAAUUAUUUAAACGGCAGCGACAAUAAAACCAUCAACAACAACAACAACAAUAAUAAUAACACUAGUGUCUCUAGCAAUAAGAAUUUGCUCUUGGCGAAAUCGCUCGAAGAGAAACGCCCCAAGUCGGUUACCGCAUCGGUAUUUCGUCCGGCUACAUUGGCCGAUUUGAGCGGUACACAUACAACAACGGCUACAACAGCAACAACAAGCGCGUCAUCGCCGCCACUACAAACGCCCGUACCAUCGACCACGAGCACUUCGUCGGUAUUCGUGAGUGCAGCAAAUGCACCGUCGUUGCCGACGUUAAACGCCGCUCCGCGCGCCCAAUCGGUGACGGCUUCCGUAUUUACGCCGAUUUCGCAGUUGUGCAAUCGCCAACAACAACACAUUGCUAAAACCAAUUCCAUUAUAACACCAACAACGGUGACAGCAGCAAUACUCUGUGGCCAACAACAACAGCAACAACAACAUCAUCAGAACCACCAGAACUCACAGACACCGACACAGCAGCAGACACAAGAUAUGAAUAAGUUUUUGUCGUUCGGGGAUGAGACAAAUGAGUUAACAAUGCUCAAAGAGGAACCCGAUGACUUGGCACACCUGGCUCCAGCUGCUGUUGAUGCUUGCAUGCGCCUGGACGACACCGCACCAUUUUGUGGUGAAAUGCUAUUGGGUCUGUCCUCUUACUCCUAUGGCUUCCUGCCCGAUGACUACAGUUCACUCGAUUCCAAUACGAGCUCCUCAUCGCCAGAUACACCAAAUCCAAAUAGCAAUAACAGCGCUGUCAAUAACAGCAGUAACAGUCAUAACAGUAAUAGCAUUAACAGUGGCAAUAACAAAAUCGGUUUGAGUAGUCCAACACAUCAACAGAAUUGCAAUAAUAAUUUAAAUGCUAGCACAUUGCAUAACAACAACAACAGCAAUAGCAAUAAUUUAUGCAACAAACCAGUUGUACGCAUCGAUCCAUUCAUAAACUAUCGGGAGGAAUCGAAUGACACCAACUGUUCGCAGCAUUUACUCUCGCCCAGUGUGGCAUCGAAGAGUCCUGAAGCGAGCAGCUUACCAUCGCUCUGCAGUCCCAACUCCCUUAGUCAGGAUGAUGGAUUUGCAUUUAUGACAAUGAGCGUUGACGAAGACAUCGACAUGAGUAUGCGUGCGCCAUAUAUUCCAAUGAACGAGCAAGAGGACUUGCCACUCCUCACUGCCGACGAUCUGAUGUGGUGCGCCAGCAAUGGCCUCGGCAGCGAAGAGCUAAACAAUCAAAAGGAUGUCGACGCCACGUUGCAACAAUUGCAGUUGCAACAACAACACACUAGCGAAAGCAAUCAUAACCUCUUGAAUGGCUAUCAUGAUGCUCAACACAUCAGUCACUCACAUUUCAAUUCAUUGUGCUCUUCACCUGCAUCGACCGUUUCAUCGCUAUCACCGUCACCGGUGAAUCAUCAUCAACAACAACAACAACAGCAACAGCAGCAGCAUCAACAACAACUGCAAGAUACAAGUUGCGUUUAUAGUACGGACACUAGUGAAUUGGCGGCGCUGCUUUGCGGCUCUGGCAAUGGCACUCUGUCAAUUCUGAAUAAUAAUUGUGGUGCUGGUAGUAGUGGUGGUAUGGAGGAUAGUGAUGUUAGUUUGCAACAACAACAGCAGCAGCAGCAGCAACAACAGCAAACACAUUGUGCUGAUUUUCGUUUGCAGUUGCAACAAGAGUUGGCUGCCGAACAGCAACGGCAGCUGCAACUGCUCGGCUUGAACAUCGAUUGCAAGAAGGAGAGUUCGCUGUCGCCCAGCUUAUGUGAUUCGCUGGAGGACACCUUCGAUAAUGUUUAUAGUAAGGAUUCUGGGAAUCUUGACUGCUGGAAUGAGUUGCUGCAAAUCAAUGUCAGCGACACUUCAUCUUCGGCAUCGCCUUCGCCCGUGACAUCACUGAAUUCACCAACUCAGCAGCAACAACAACAACACAAGCUGGACGAUUGCAAAACGCACUUGCGUCUGGAGCAGCAUCUGUCGUCGCCGCAGCAGCAGCAGCACAAUAUCAUUUUGAAUGCCGUGCCAUUGAUAACAAUACAAGACACUAAGAAUAUUUUGUUGCAACAGCAGCAACAACAACAACAACUCAAUGUCAGCAAUAAAAUGCUAAUAAAAGAUGAAAUGUUGCCAGCGCAACGUGGCGGUCAUAAAAUCACAACAAUCAAGCUGUUGAAUGCCCAAGCAACAACAACAAUAACACCAGCGCUUGGCACAGCCGGCACUGCACCGGUGCGCAUGAUUGACAUUAAACAGCAGCACGAACAACAAAGGCAACAACAGCAACACCACCAACAACAGCAACAACAACAGUCGCAUAAACGGCACUUGGUGAGCUCCAUGCCCAGCGCACAGCUGGAGAGCAAGCGCAUGAAGAGCGCUGCCAUGGACAUGCAAACUGUGCCACAACUGCUGCAACAGCUGGUAUCGCCGCUGCAGCCGCAACACUUGAAGGAGCAACAACAAAAACUGCAACAACAACAGCAAGCGCGCAAAGCCAACAGCGGCGUGUCUCGCUGGGUCGCCAACGCCGACCUGAAAGCCAACUCAAAUGGCAUGCAACAACAACCACAAUCGAAUUCAGUGCUGAAGAAUUUGCUAAUUAGCGGUUGCGAUGUAAGUGCAGGCUACUGUCUGGUGCCGAUGCGGCCCAAAAAACUAGCGAAGGCAUAAAUUGCGCACGCAUGUGUGGCGACGUGGUGGCAGGGACGUUGUUGGCUGACGCGCCUUGUGGCGUGCGACAGCCAAACGUUGGCCCACUCCAGCGCCGCACAUUGGCGCACAAAAAGCUGUAUUUUAAAAAUACAUUUGCCUAAUCAACUAACCAACACAACCGUUUAUUUGCCGUUGUACAUGGAAACACAAAGCAAUUUACAAAAACCAAAUUGAAAAUUGAUAUUCUUUUUCGCUAAUAUUCGGUUACAGGCUUGUGUCUGGAAUGUCUUCAGACACAAUUAGCGCGUAGUUUACUUUAAAACGUUGCAAAUUGGUUUAUUUAGUUUUAUAAAUUUUGUAGAUGGAUCGAUUUUAUGAUUAAUACGUGUGUAUACACACACACACGCACGCAAACAUUUUUUGUUAAAAUUUUAGAUGUAACGCCGUAAGUUAUGCUAAAAGAAAACUGUAGAUACAGCAAACUAUAGAAAAAAAUAUUCUUUAUAUCUAAUAACUAGUACUAGAACAAAUUAAAAUAUUAUUACAAUAAAAUUAUUGAUUUAAAAUUACGUUAAUGAGUGUAAGCUAGUUAAAUAGUUUAAACUAUAACCUUAGCACUAGUCGAAUAGCUCUAAGCAGCGUGAGAAAUGUGGAGAAACAGACGCUACGAGAUUUGUUAUAGCAAUACACACACGUAUGUAACCCAACAUACACAAACACACACACAUGUGUAUUUAUAUACACACCUAUAUAUAUAUAUACUUUAUAUAUAAAACCAUAUAUCAGAAGAUGCAAUCAAUUCUCCGCUGUUGUUAUUUACACUAAUUUUUAAUUCAGCUUUAAGUUGACCAAAAAUGGAGAAUUUUUUUAGGAUAAAAUUAAAGUUGUUAAAUUUGUUAAAAACGGACACUGUAAAUAAAUAAUUUAGUUACAUAUACAUACAUAAUGAAAUAAGCGCAAGCAAAAAUUGCCAGCUAAAAAAAUAAAAUAUAUAAAAUUAUUUGACUAAAACAAAAAUGAGCGUUCAUGUAAUAAGUGGUUAUUGUAUGCGUAGAAGAAGAAGAAAACAAACGUAAAAAUAUUAAAUUAAUCAAUAAUUUGCAGCAACUCAGCAUAGAAGACGCAAUGAAGCGCCAGUGUCAAAUGCCUUUGCGCACUGUUUGUGGGCUGAAAUUGAAGGCGUAACGCUGUCUUUAUAAGACUCACUAAAUUCGAAAUUUGAGUUAGUAUGCCGUACAGUUAGCUAAUCUAGCGCACACAUACCAAAAAACAAAAACAAGCAGCUAAUAUUAUGGUACUAUAGCUUGUUCGCAUUGACUCAGUUACAUAUGUAACAUAAAUGCACACACACACACGCAUACACAUACAUAUGUAUUUUUAAAUAGGGUUAAAUUAUAUAGACGUGUUUAUGCACAAACUGUAGCGACUUUAAUUUUCUACUGUGAUAGAAUUUUCCUUUUAUUUGUGUAGCAGCACGCACACGCACAAAUACAUAUACUAUACAGAAGACAGAGAGCCAACAUUAGCAAGUCAAUUUGUUGUAUUUUUCGCUUAUUUCCAGCCUUUCAUGCGUGGAUUUAUUUAAUAUUAUUUUAGCAAUAACACUUUUGUGGUGAAAGGGGCGUGAUUAAACACUGCUACUUGCUUGAUAUUUAACGUACACAAUGAGUUUACAGCUUUUUUGUUGUUUUUGGUGCGCCACAAAACAGUAGAAGCAAAUUUGGUUUGGCACAAUUCAAGAUUUUUCUAGAAAGCUGUGCAACAUAAAGCAGUUUAUAUUUAUUUGUAAGUUUAAUUAAGCAAUUUUGGAGUUAGAAGUGAGCCUUUGAGGUUAGAUAUUAGCUUUUGAGGUUAAGAAUUAAAUUUUGAGUUUAGAAUGAGUUUUCAGCCUAAAAUGAGCGCUUGAGAUGAGAAAUGAGCUUUUGAGGUUAAAAUGAACUUUUCAGGUUAGAAAUGAGCACUUGAGGUUUAAAGCGAAUACAUGAAGUUAGAAAUGAGCACUUGAGAUUAAAACGAACUUUUGAAAUUAGAAAUAAGCCUAAAUUGAGCAUUUGAACUUAGAAUAAACUUUUGGAAGUGAGCUAAGAAUGAGUUUUUGAGGUUUGAAAAGCGAUUUAAGGUUCGAAAUGCACUAUUAAGGUUAGAAAAGAGCCUUUAAGGUUAGAAAAAAGCUUUUGAGGUUCGAAAUGAGCUCUUGAGGUUAGAUAUGAACUUUGGAGGGUAUAUUAUGCUCUUGAGCUUAGAAUGAACUUUUGAGCCUAGAAUGAGCUUUUGGUGUCAAAAAUGAUUCUUUAAGUUAAAACAAGCUUUAGAGGUUUGAAAUCAUCUCUUGAGGUUAGAUAUGAGUUUUUCAGGUUAAAUUGAGCUCUUGAGCUUAGGAUGAACUAUUGGGCUUAGAAAGAGCUUUUAGACUUAGAAAGAAUGUUUGGUGUUAGAAAUUAGGUUUUGAGGUUAGGAAUGAGCCCAGAAAAAGUUUUGGAAGAAAACACGAACUUUUGAGGUUAGAAACGAAUGAAUAACCACGUGAUAUUUAUAAUUUGAAAUUAUUUUUAUUAUUUGCAAAAAAAAACAUAAAUAAAGCUCUUGUGUCCACCAAAGUAGUUUUUAAGUCCUUGUUUUCGCCAAAGGCAAAGUAAGACCAUGCGUGUUGCCAUCUUUUCUAAGUUUGUGCACAUAAAUAAGGCUUUCGUACUUUUAUUUCAGUUUUCCUUUUUUGACCAUAAUUCUGUUGACUAUAAACAAAAUAUUAGUAACUUUAGAAGCAAUACGAAAAUAUAUUAAAAUAGUAAAAGAGUUAGGUGUCGAUGAACAUUGCGGUAAAUAUAGCGAAAAAUUGUGUUUAAAGUAGAAAAAUGUAAAAAAUUGGAGCGCUGAUGGUACAAAAACAACAAGAAAUAAAAUAACGAAAGUAAAAUUUGUAACAGCCACACAAGCAUUAGCAAGUAAUGCGUUGACUUUGAUAAAUUAGAAGAACAACAAAAAAUAAAAAAAAACAUAAUUUUACUUAUGAAUAGCGGAAUUACGUAAGAAAUUUGAAAAAAAAACUUUGAAGUACUAAGCAAAUGAAAUAGAAUAUUAAUGUAAUGUGUUAAGUCAACGGUAAAAACGAGCUGUAAGACGUUUGGAACGACUGAGAUGGCGGCACAAACUAACUGUUUGCAAAAGGAAGGUGCUAAACGGACUUUGGCAGCAUAAAUUAGAAUAGUUAUAAAAAGCAUAAGCGAAAUCACUGAAUUUGCUAGUUUAUUAAAAGCCACUAAUAGUUGACAGACACAGUUGCAUAGUAAAAAAGAUCGUAAUAGUUGUGACAAUAGUAAGGAAAAUAAAGAAAAUAACUGCAAUAGCAACAAAACAACCUACAACAUGAAGCUUUAAACAGAAAAAAAUUAACUAAAACGAGAAAAUAUUGAAACUAAGAACAGUAAAAAAUGCAACCACACAAUAAACUUUUAAAAAUUAAACUUCAAAACAAAAAUUACAAAAUAGUGAAACAACAAAACUAAACAAUAAAAAAUCAAAACUCAACAAUAAAAAAUGAGACUACAAAACUAAAAACAGUAAGCAAUUAAACUACCAAAUAUUCAACAAACUCCAUUGCAAAAAACUAAAUAUUUUAAUUUUUUUUUUUUUUUUUUGCAAUUUUCAAAAAUUUAUUUAUGUUCAAAAAUGCACAAUUUACAUACAAAUUGUAAUAUUUAUCAUUAUUUAGCCAAAACUAGCGCCGCACUCUCUUCAGCGUGCUUUAUAAAUAUAAAACAGGUGACAUCACAUACUCAAAACUCUUUGCAUCUUUACAUACACACGCUGUUUAUUCAUUUAAACCCACUUAUUUACUUAGUUACAUAAGUUGUAAGUUGUUAAGUUCUUUAGUUUUAAGUUUAUUUUUGAUAAUCUUUACUACAUUGUCUUGUCUAAAUAUACGCUCAAACUACUUGAAGUUCUUAUGCAUAUGCACACAUACUGUACUAUUUUUUUUCCUUUUUUAGUUGCUAAGCAAUAUUUUCCCUUUAAAUUAUCUAUUAUACAUAUAUUAUAUAAGACACCACUUAUGCUUUCGAUUUAAUUUAGUUUUAGUUUACAAAAGCGCAG